GCAGCCACCUUUUGAAACGCGUCAAAGCGUAACUUUAACACCCAAAAUACCAUUAAUUUUUAUGAACCCCUAAUUUAUAAUGAAUGACUCCAUAUUUAUAUGGAAGACACCAUGCUAGGAUUAGUAACAAGAAUUUAUAAUUCUCCAAAAUGCAAAUAUAAACCAACAUGGAUAGACCAUUGGUAGUUACCGAACCUAAAUUUAAUGCAAUAACAUCCACAAGAAAACUCUGCAGCAAUCACUCGUUAACCUAACACCAGCGCAUUACAGGAAAGAUUCAAAAAAAGAGAAGGAAUUCGGCAAAUGACGGCCCCGCCUGUUUACCAAAAACAUCGCCUCUUGACUUAUAAUAAGAGGUCUAGCCUGCCCAGUGAAUUUUAAACGGCCGCGGUAUCCUAACCGCGCGAAGGUAGCAUAAUCACUUGUUCUUUAAAUGGGGACUCGUAUCAACGGCAUCACGAGGGUUUUACUGUCUCCUCUUUUUGAUCAGUGAAAUUGAUCUUCCCGUGAAGAAGCGGGAAUAUUUUUAUAAGACGAGAAGACCCCAUGGAGCUUUAAACCAAAUAACAACUUAACCACUUAUCCCAUAAUAAAUUUAACCCCUGUUAUAAGGUUUUUGGUUGGGGUGACCGCGGAGUAAAGCACAUCCUCCACGACGGAAAGAAUAAAAUCUUUAUUUAAGAACCACACUUCUAGAAAUUAGUAUACUAACGUUUACUGACCCGACAAUCGAUCAACGGACCAAGUUACCCUGGGGAUAACAGCGCAAUCUACUUCGAGAGCUCAUAUCGACAAGUAGGCUUACGACCUCGAUGUUGGAUCAGGGUAUCCCGGUGGUGCAGCCGCUACCGAAGGUUCGUUUGUUCAACGAUUAAAACCCUACGUGAUCU
RNAcentral lists this ribosomal RNA (890 nucleotides) under Polypedates leucomystax (Java whipping frog). RNAcentral's name for it is "partial 16S ribosomal RNA". It matches the Rfam family "Bacterial large subunit ribosomal RNA", at positions 1112 to 2606 of the family's 2925-position model. The record is from RNAcentral. Lineage: Eukaryota; Metazoa; Chordata; Amphibia; Anura; Rhacophoridae.